Otolemur garnettii (small-eared galago) is the source of this 111-nucleotide non-coding RNA. Lineage: Eukaryota; Metazoa; Chordata; Mammalia; Primates; Galagidae. The record is from Rfam.
GUGCUCGCUUCAGCAGCACGUAUACUAACAUUGGAAUGAUACAGAGAGGAUGAGCAUGGCCCCUGUGCAAGCAUGACAGAAUUCCAAGAGUUAAUUAAAUUGAGCAUUUUA